UGGUCGUAUGUAUGACGUCAUU
Molecule: microRNA, 22 nt
Filed under: Lepisosteus oculatus (spotted gar)
Lineage: Eukaryota; Metazoa; Chordata; Actinopteri; Semionotiformes; Lepisosteidae
Also listed under: 13 other names
Description: Loc-Mir-489-v2_5p* (star (passenger))
Source: RNAcentral